RNAcentral lists this ribosomal RNA (500 nucleotides) under uncultured bacterium. RNAcentral's name for it is "bacterial SSU rRNA". It matches the Rfam family "Bacterial small subunit ribosomal RNA", at positions 28 to 526 of the family's 1533-position model. The record is from RNAcentral.
GAUGAACGCUAGCGGCAGGCUUAACACAUGCAGGUCGAGGGGCAGCGGGGUCUUCGGACCGCCGGCGACCGGCGCACGGGUGCGUAACGCGUAUGCAACCUACCUUUCACAGGGGGAUAAUCCGGAGAAAUCUGGUCUAAUACCCCAUAACACAUUUUACGGCAUCGUAGAUUGUUGAAAUUUUCGGAGGUGAAAGAUGGGCAUGCGUGACAUUAGCUAGAUGGUGAGGUAACGGCUCACCAUGGCAACGAUGUCUAGGGGGACUGAGAGGUUAACCCCCCACACUGGUACUGAGACACGGACCAGACUCCUACGGGAGGCAGCAGUGAGGAAUAUUGGUCAAUGGUCGGAAGACUGAACCAGCCAAGUCGCGUGAGGGAAGACAGCCCUAUGGGUUUUAAACCUCUUUUGUAAUGGAAGAAUAAGUCUUACGUGUAGGACGAUGCCAGUACAUUACGAAUAAGCAUCGGCUAUCUCCGUGCCAGCCGCCGCUGUAACAC